GGGCCGCGCCUCCUCCCCGGCGGCGACGCCUAGGAUCUCCGAGGUUCGACCUCUCCUCUCCUCUGCACCACCUUCUACCCCUCCGGCGGCCUGGGGUGUAUAUAUUGAUAUUAACAAUUGUUAAUCCUGCCAUCGGUGUGAAGCCUAGCAUCUAGUGAUGAGUCCCACUGUCAAUUAAUUAAACAAGUACGCGAUGCGAUCUUGGGUGCUGAACGGGAGCACAUGCCACUCGCUAGUCCCAACAAGCAUCUACGCAGAUCUAUAGGUAGGUUAAAUUUUGUGUUAGCAUGUACUAGUACAAUUGCUCGUUGAAGAUUGCAUUGGCAUGUGCCUUCGUAGUAGAUCGACAAAUAGUGAAACUUCAGGCCUGACGAAUCUUGAUUAAGAAUACUAGAACAUGUGGAACGAUCGAGGUCGCUAAGUAAACUUCCAUUAUCUAUCUAUAUAAGCAGGACAUAGGGGCUUGAAAUCUGCAUCUCAGAUCCAUCCACACACAAAUGAUCAGAGGAGAAGAAAGAUGCUGGAACGGUACUGAUGGAGGCCACUGAGGUGAGGAUUGGCAAAUCCGUGCUGAAUGAGUGCUUGGGUACGCCAAAUUCGCCAUCAUGUAUUUGGUAGCUGGAUUUUCUCACCCAACAAACAUAAUACAGGAGGAUGUGAGGAUUGGAAAACCCUAAAAAUAUUAUAUGUGGGCACAUAAAAGUAAAAACAUAGUAGAAAUAAAAAAAUUCAUACAAAUAUUAGAAGGCAAGUGCGAACCUGUUAGCAAAUAUUAUCUGACAUAAAUCAGAAUCCAUGAAAUGGGGCCGGUCAAUUCAGAUUCUUGCAAGUUUGAGUACAAGCCAGAGAUAUGGAACUCCUAACUUUUGUAAAACUAAUAUGUUUCAGAAUUGUUAUGAUUUCAUCCAAUCCAGUAUGUAGGUUUUUUUUAGGACAUUGGCGUAGCCUUCAGGAUGAUUCUUUGAACAUCAAUUCUCGUGAAGACUUGUUGCCUCACAUACAAAUAACUACAUUUUAUUAAUUAUGUAGUUUAUGAUAAAAUUUAGUACUUUUGUUAUCUCUUUUGAUUUUGAGUUGGAAUCCCAGUUAUAUUACUUAGCAUAACUUGAUAUUUUGUACUUUUUCAUGUAUAUACAUUUUUUUAUUCUCC
Molecule: long non-coding RNA, 1150 nt
Filed under: Triticum aestivum (bread wheat)
Lineage: Eukaryota; Viridiplantae; Streptophyta; Magnoliopsida; Poales; Poaceae
Description: long non-coding RNA (TAES_LNC010989)
Source: RNAcentral